Molecule: long non-coding RNA, 694 nt
Organism: Acanthochromis polyacanthus (spiny chromis)
Lineage: Eukaryota; Metazoa; Chordata; Actinopteri; Pomacentridae
Exons: 3
Source: RefSeq, a predicted model, not a curated record
UUAUUUCAUAUUACGUAUUUAUGUAUUUGUCAAGUAAGACUUGAAAAGAGAGCUAUUAUUUUGUUUUAAGUUGAUAUGCUAAUACAGAAGAGGCAUUAUGUAACCGUAUUUUCUUUAAAUAACAGUGAUCUUGCAAAGCAGCUGGUUCCAGGUCCCUCGAUUGAAAAAACAGGCAAAGACAUCGAGGGGCUUCCGAGACAGACACAUGCAAAUGACUGUGGCAUUUUUAUGAUAAUGGUAAGCUUUCAAACAUGGAACUUUCCAAUUAGCUGAACAUAUUUUCAGUACCUUAACCUGUUUAAUGUUUCUGACACAGUACGCCUGGUACCUCAUUCUUAGUGCUCCAUUUGACUUCACUGUUGUAAGUUGAACCGAUAAUUUGAUCGUUACAGUUCCUGUAAGUUUGACAAACUAGUGUGGAUAUUUAAAGUAACAGCAACAUACAUGUACAUGAAGUGAAUCAUUGUGGAUUUGUGGAAUGUGCUCUUCCUAUAAGGACGACAUGCCAGUUCUGUGGAGAUGGUGGUGUUCCGUUAUUAUGGAAAACCUAAUCCUGGAAGGGCAUGGGAGAAGGUUUGCCCAUUUCACUAAGGAGGGAAGGGACAUGAUUUCUGGCCGUCUUUCACCUGUUUUCCGACUGAAGCGGAAAAGAACAGAUGAUGAAGACACAGAUGUAAGAAUAUGUGACAACAAC